Molecule: ribosomal RNA, 468 nt
Filed under: uncultured bacterium
Lineage: Bacteria
Description: partial 16S ribosomal RNA
Rfam family: Bacterial small subunit ribosomal RNA
Source: RNAcentral
GACGAACGCUGGCGGCGUGCUUAACACAUGCAAGUCGAACGGAAAGGCCCUGCUUUUGUGGGGUGCUCGAGUGGCGAACGGGUGAGUAACACGUGAGUAACCUGCCCUUGACUUUGGGAUAACUUCAGGAAACUGGGGCUAAUACCGGAUAGGAGCUCCUGCUGCUUGGUGGGGGUUGGAAAGUUUCGGCGGUUGGGGAUGGACUCGCGGCUUAUCAGCUUGUUGGUGGGGUAGUGGCUUACCAAGGCUUUGACGGGUAGCCGGCCUGAGAGGGUGACCGGCCACAGUGGGACUGGGAUGCGGCCCAGACUCCUACGGGAGGCAGCAGUGGGGAAUAUUGCACGAUGGGCGGAAGCCGGAUGCAGCAACGCCGCGUGCGGGAUGACGGCCUUCGGGUUGUAACCCGCUUUCGCCUGUGACGAAGCGUGAGUGACGGUAAUGGGUAAAGAAGCACCGGCUAACUACGUG